CAGCCGCCACGGUAAUACAGAGGAUGCAAGCGUUAAUCGGAUUUACUGGGCGUAAAGCGUGCGUAGGCGGCUUCUUAAGUCGGAUGUGAAAUCCCUGAGCUUAACUUAGGAAUUGCAUUCGAUACUGGGAAGCUAGAGUAUGGGAGAGGAUGGUAGAAUUCCAGGUGUAGCGGUGAAAUGCGUAGAGAUCUGGAGGAAUACCGAUGGCGAAGGCAGCCAUCUGGCCUAAUACUGACGCUGAGGUACGAAAGCAUGGGGAGCAAACAGGAUUAGAUACCCGCGUAGUCCCUGUCUCUUAUAC
RNAcentral lists this ribosomal RNA (301 nucleotides) under uncultured bacterium. Its description in RNAcentral is "partial 16S ribosomal RNA". It matches the Rfam family "Bacterial small subunit ribosomal RNA", at positions 509 to 807 of the family's 1533-position model. The record is from RNAcentral.